Molecule: small RNA, 67 nt
Filed under: Sinorhizobium meliloti 2011
Lineage: Bacteria; Pseudomonadati; Pseudomonadota; Alphaproteobacteria; Hyphomicrobiales; Rhizobiaceae
Description: putative ncRNA
Source: RNAcentral
GUGUGUACGAUCGAGGCAUUGCUCGCUCGCAGGAAUCGGACGAGCGCAGGAAGUGUGCGCAUGACAU